UAGGGAAUCUUCGGCAAUGGGGGGAACCCUGACCGAGCAACGCCGCGUGAGUGAAGAAGGUUUUCGGAUCGUAAAGCUCUGUUGUUAAGGAAGAACGAGUGUGAGAAUGGAAAGUUCAUGCUGUGACGGUACUUAACCAGAAAGGGACGGCUAACUACGUGCCAGCAGCCGCGGUAAUACGUAGGUCCCGAGCGUUGUCCGGAUUCAUUGGGCGUAAAGCGCGCGCAGGCGGCUCUUCAAGCGGAACCUCUAACCCCGGGGCUCAACCUCGGGCCGGGUUCCGAACUGGAGGGCUCGAGUGCGGUAGAGGCAGGCGGAAUUCCCGGUGUAGCGAUGGAAUGCGCAGAUAUCGGGAAGAACACCGAUGGCGAAGGCAGCCUGCUGGGCCGGCACUGACGCUGAGGCGCGAAAGCUAGGGGAGCGAACAGG
Molecule: ribosomal RNA, 429 nt
Filed under: Verrucomicrobiota bacterium
Lineage: Bacteria; Pseudomonadati; Verrucomicrobiota
Description: Verrucomicrobia bacterium partial 16S ribosomal RNA
Rfam family: Bacterial small subunit ribosomal RNA
Source: RNAcentral